CAGCAGCCGCGGGAAUACGUAGGGUGCGAGCGUUAAUCGGAAUUACUGGGCGUAAAGCGUGCGCAGGCGGUUUUGUAAGACAGAUGUGAAAUCCCCGGGCUCAACCUGGGAACUGCAUUUGUGACUGGCAAGCUAGAGUCUGGCAGAGGGGGGUGGAAUUCCGCGUGUAGCAGUGAAAUGCGUAGAUAUGCGGAGGAACACCGAUGGCGAAGGCAGCCCCCUGGGCCAACACUGACGCUCAUGCACGAAAGCGUGGGGGGCAAACAGGAUUAGAUACCCCAGUAGUCCCUGUCUCUUAUAC
This 301-nucleotide ribosomal RNA is filed under the name uncultured bacterium. RNAcentral describes it as "partial 16S ribosomal RNA". It matches the Rfam family "Bacterial small subunit ribosomal RNA", at positions 509 to 807 of the family's 1533-position model. The record is from RNAcentral.